This is a long non-coding RNA of Fopius arisanus, 404 nucleotides long. RefSeq lists it as uncharacterized. The record is from RefSeq and is a predicted model, not a curated record. Lineage: Eukaryota; Metazoa; Arthropoda; Insecta; Hymenoptera; Braconidae. The transcript has 4 exons.
AAAAUUCAUGAGAAUAUUUCAGUAGCAAGUACGACUUGACAGGAAUUGCUGACAAUUUCAUAACGAGAAGGAAAAUUAUUCUGAGUUAUGAUUCUCCAAGAGCUGAUUCUCCUGAUUCUCGGAGUAACGAUGGCCAACGCGAUUACUUUCUGCUUGACCCAUACGGAUUGCCUGACAGAUUGCCGCGGACCAUUCGUUCCUGUCUGUAUAUUGGGCCUCUGCACCUGUUCACCAAUUCUAUCUUGAGAAUUCCACCGCAGGCCACAAAUUCCAAUUCUGAAUUCCCAUUCUUCCACUGAAGUUGACAAUUAUUUUUUCUUAUCACUGGAGUAAUUACUAUUUUCCACGUCAUAAUGCGGAAGACUACAUUUAUCAUGAAUUAAUAAAAACAAUGAGACAUCAAA